Myotis lucifugus (little brown bat) is the source of this 76-nucleotide non-coding RNA. Lineage: Eukaryota; Metazoa; Chordata; Mammalia; Chiroptera; Vespertilionidae. The record is from Rfam.
GGUGGUUCUCAGGUGACUCACCCCAGAAUCAGGCUCCCUCCUCUCUGGUUCCGGGGUGCGUCACCCGAGAACCACC